AUGAAUUUGAGUGUGAUGACAAUUUAUGGGGAUUUCUCACCUGUCGCCGCGGCCGCUGUGAGCGUCAUCAGAUCACCUGGGCCUGUGACACCGACCGCAGACCGGACAGCAGAGGACACCUGCUCAUGGCCUGCCCCUGCAAGCUGGGCUGCCUCGGCACAGUGCGAGGCCAGCAACUCGGUGGCCGACGCCAUGGCUGCAGCUAUCUUGGAGUCCUGGUUGUCAAAGCUGGUGGCUGCUGUGACAGCGGCAACCGCGGCGGACACCUGGGCCACGGAGACCAUGGCGUGCGCCUGGGCCCGGUCGGCGCGCGCCUUCUCCUUCCUGCCGUGCUUGGCGGCCUCCUUGUGCUGGAAGUACCACCUGGUCACCGAGUUGGAGUGGCGGUGGCAGCUGAUGGAGCCCCUCCCUUUUGCAUCUAGCUGCAGAGCAGAGAUGGCUGGAGAGUAA
RNAcentral lists this ribosomal RNA (450 nucleotides) under Triticum aestivum (bread wheat). RNAcentral's name for it is "partial small subunit ribosomal RNA". The record is from RNAcentral. Lineage: Eukaryota; Viridiplantae; Streptophyta; Magnoliopsida; Poales; Poaceae.